Molecule: long non-coding RNA, 1155 nt
Organism: Mugil cephalus (flathead mullet)
Lineage: Eukaryota; Metazoa; Chordata; Actinopteri; Mugiliformes; Mugilidae
Exons: 3
Source: RefSeq, a predicted model, not a curated record
GCAGCAGCAGCAGCAGUCAGACCAGGACCACCAGCCACAGUGGGCUGACACUGUUGAUGCUGAGGUGUCAAGAUGAUUUGCACCAUAUAACGCAAGGUCAAGGCUACAACAAAGGCAGCCAAGACCUCCCCGAAGAAACAACACAGCUGCGUCAUAUGCACAUACCUUCUGCUGUCUUGCCAACAAGAAUGCAAUAGUUAUACCGAAAAAGAGUGUCUCCAGAGGGCAGGGUUGGGUGAGAGGCACUUGUGCUUCCGAGACUUCCUGCUAGAAGCAUAUUCCAAAUUAAGGGAUGCUGGAGGAUUUGAAUUGUUGAGAAUUGGUGACACGUCAAGAUCUCAACAGCUGGUGCCUCUCCUGUCUUAAUGAGGGCUACACUGUACAGUACCUGAAAGACAAAAAUCCACCAGGCAAAUCCACCAGGCAACAGUUUACGUCCGCCCUCUCCAAUGCACUUUUAGCAUGGAGCAGGUAUGAAUUGAUUUCAUGAUUUAUAUUGUUUGUUAUCUUUUAGAUGGAACAGUAUUACACUGUAGAUACAGUAUUACAGGAGUAUGCUUAAUUGAAAUUUGGCGUUAUGAUGUAAACAAACUGCUCAUGUUGCUAUUGCACUCCUAUAAGUUAAAUGUCAAAAUCCCCUUUCUUGUCAGAUGAUUUCCCUAUAGUUUCAUAGGAGCGUGUUCACAUAUUCCAUGUAAUGCGUUUAUUAUUUCACUGAUAUUUAAUUAUGUUUUCAAAGGCAUUGCUUACACAUGCAUUUCGUGUCAUGUCUUUGAAUCUCCAGUAAAGUGAUGGUGGAGAGUCAAGGAAUAACCUUGGAUCCCUGACUCCUUGUCAAAAAUUAACCCUUCGAAUAUUUUGAAUGAACCCUGAAUAUAUUGGAUGAAACUCUGAAUAUAUUGAAUGAAACUUCGAAUAUAUUGAAGAUAUUCAAGAAAAGUGUUAGCCUUCUGAAUUCACUGGCUUUACAAAAUGGCAUCAACUUGAAUUUUUUCCAGUAUUUUAAUGAACUGGGAAACUUUUUUGCUAGUGGUUGUACUACAAAUGACAAUAACAGUUUGGAGACUAUUUCGCGUCACCUUGAGGAUCAUAUGUCCAUUAUUGUGACAUUCAUAGUGCUUGUGAGUAAUAUUGUUCCUCAAAACAUUGCUGAAA